RNAcentral lists this ribosomal RNA (466 nucleotides) under uncultured bacterium. Its description in RNAcentral is "partial 16S ribosomal RNA". It matches the Rfam family "Bacterial small subunit ribosomal RNA", at positions 28 to 507 of the family's 1533-position model. The record is from RNAcentral.
GACGAACGCUGGCGGCGCGCCUAACACAUGCAAGUCGAACGAGCGAGAGAGAGCUUGCUUUCUCGAGCGAGUGGCGAACGGGUGAGUAACGCGUGAGGAACCUGCCUCAAAGAGGGGGACAACAGUUGGAAACGACUGCUAAUACCGCAUAAGCCCACGGCUCGGCAUCGAGCCGGGGGAAAAGGAGCAAUCCGCUUUGAGAUGGCCUCGCGUCCGAUUAGCUAGUUGGUGGGGUAACGGCCCACCAAGGCGACGAUCGGUAGCCGGACUGAGAGGUUGAACGGCCACAUUGGGACUGAGACACGGCCCAGACUCCUACGGGAGGCAGCAGUGGGGAAUAGUGCACAAGGGGGGAAACCCUGAUGCAGCGACGCCGCGUGGAGGAAGAAUGUCUUCGGAUUGUAAACUCCUGUUGUUGGGGAAGAUAGUGACGGUACCCAACAAGGAAGUGACGGCUAACUACGUG